AGUGAACGCUGGCGGUAGGCCUAACACAUGCAAGUCGAACGGCAGCACAGUAAGAGCUUGCUCUUACGGGUGGCGAGUGGCGGACGGGUGAGGAAUACAUCGGAAUCUACUUUUUCGUGGGGGAUAACGUAGGGAAACUUACGCUAAUACCGCAUACGACCUACGGGUGAAAGCAGGGGAUCUUCGGACCUUGCGCGAUUGAAUGAGCCGAUGUCGGAUUAGCUAGUUGGCGGGGUAAAGGCCCACCAAGGCGACGAUCCGUAGCUGGUCUGAGAGGAUGAUCAGCCACACUGGAACUGAGACACGGUCCAGACUCCUACGGGAGGCAGCAGUGGGGAAUAUUGGACAAUGGGCGCAAGCCUGAUCCAGCCAUACCGCGUGAGUGAAGAAGGCCUUCGGGUUGUAAAGCCCUGUUGUUGGGAAAGAAAAGCAGCAGGUUAAAACCCCGCUGUUCUGACGGUACCCAAAGAAUAAGCACCGGCUAACUUCGUG
Molecule: ribosomal RNA, 492 nt
Filed under: uncultured bacterium
Lineage: Bacteria
Description: partial 16S ribosomal RNA
Rfam family: Bacterial small subunit ribosomal RNA
Source: RNAcentral